AUGAUCACUCGACCAUCGACUACUGGGGCGCCAUCAAGGAUGCAGAAAACAUCCCCCUCUUCAAUUGUGCAAAUAUUCAAUAAUUUUUUUACUGGAAGCAGUCUGCAAACUGAAGUUGGAAACAGAUGCAAACAUAACACCCAACCACCUCUCCGGGUGUCACCUUUUCACCUUUUCCUGCAGGUGUUCGUACUAGGCAAUGUUGAGCUGGGCAUGAUGAACUUAAAGCAAACCACAAUGCCACGGAUACAAUUAUUCAACGGGGAGACCCUAAAAUGGAUGAUCCUCGUGUGCUCAGCAAGGAAGCUAGGGAAAACCAUCUUCAUAGUCUCCGAGGCAAGACACUGGAAUGCCAUGUGUUACACAUGGCACAACUACAUAAACGAGAAGCAUGUCAAGAAGAAAUCAAUGGAGUACAAGGCUGAAGGUUCAGCAAAUCAGUAUGCAAUUGUCAGACACAACCCAGACAGCACUCGGCGGGCGGACUACAUCAACACAGAUACAGCCGUAAGCAACCUUGCACACACACAAAUAAGCAACACCGAAUUCAGCCCCGGUGACUAUGCUCGUUGGAUCCAGAUGCAAAACCCAGAGCUGGCCGCUUCUCCAUUGGGAUGGGCACUAAAAGAGAACAACGCCAAGUGUGUGCAUAUCGCAAAUGAAAUGAAAAGGAACAUUGCAAGUGAGAACAUUCGAUUCACGAAAAAAUGGCUCCAAGUUUAUUCUGUCAGACCAAAUUUGGGAACCCCCGCACCUAGUGCGUCUUAUCGCGCUGUUGUAACAACGAAAGGUGUCGGCGGCUCAGACGCACCAUCAUUCGAACUGGACAUAGACGGCCACAACGAAGCCGGUACGCCUAUCAAGAAGGAUGGAAAGGCCACCCCGGUUUCACCUACUUUGGCGACAAAGACACAUUUCGACCACCUAGUAGGGCAGCUAAUGAUGCUCAACGAUGAGAUCGGAGACACUGAGGGACACAUUGUCUUUGGUCAAGUGAACGGCACGGCUAUAAAAAAGAUCAAAGCUUCUCACACCGGGUUCACAAAAGACCCAUGGUCUAGUAAUCGGAUGGUGCGCACACACGGGGCAGGGGUCCUGAAAGCCAUCAGAGAAUGGAUGCGAUCAAGAACACCCUAUGAUCUUCUUAGGGAUUGGGUCUCACAACCUGACCCACAGAUCAUUGCAAUCAGCGGCAAUGCCAUCAAGUCUCAAUUAUGUGAUGGUUCUGAACUUGACCACGAGCUUGGGUCCCUGAUUGUCCGUCAAAUUGGGAAGAUGGAGUUGCAUGCGCACCGUGCCAGCCCCGACGAACUAUACCGGUUGCUUCUCGAGCCCGAUUUUGCGGGGAAAACAUCACAAGAAUAA
RNAcentral lists this ribosomal RNA (1365 nucleotides) under Triticum aestivum (bread wheat). RNAcentral's name for it is "partial small subunit ribosomal RNA". Lineage: Eukaryota; Viridiplantae; Streptophyta; Magnoliopsida; Poales; Poaceae. The record is from RNAcentral.